UCAAUGAAUUCAGAUUUGGUUAAGAUUUUCUUCUCCUGAGUCAUAAUUUUUAACCUUCUUAAUUCAUCAUCAUCAGCCACUGACCUUUGUUUAAUGCUGUUGGCCAAAAUAGAGAGUUCUGUUGUCUUUUCGAGUAAAAAGUACAGUAAAAGUGUUUUAUACUCUGGAUUAAAAAACUUUACCUGAACUUGUAACAUGCCACAGUAACAGUAAGAGAUAGUUACUAUACAGUUUAUAACUGAUAAUUUAUUUGCUUUUUUUUGUGAUCAGCUGUGAAUGGUCAUGGUCUGGAAAUCCGGGGUGGCAACCACCAAAUUACAGUGAGUUCUGCUACCAACUUUAAGUUGUUUGGAAGAAACAAAGGAAAACAGCAAUUCUGGAUUUGCAUUGGCUGAUUUACCAUUCCCUAAGGGAGAUAGAGCCAGAAUCUGGGACUGACACCCAAUAUAGAGCAGGAGAUACUUCGAGCAGCCAGCAUGAAAGGAGGCAAAAAGCCAAGUGGCAGGAUAUCUGCUGAGAAAGCUGAGAAGAUGACAGUCUCACAGGAGAAGAGGGAAGACAGCAGGGCUCAUUUGCACAACUCUGAAUGAUUAACUAUGAAGAUUCUUAAGUCAAAGAAGAUUCUUAAGUCAAAGAAGAUUCCAGGUUCUGCAGCCCCUCCUGUGCUGUAUUGGAUCCAUGGCUGCUGAGGUUCUAACAAAGAAAAGAAAAAAUCAUACUCCAUUUCUAAUUAAAGAAGUAAUUUUCCUUUGCAAAUAGACUUUUUAUCUCAGCUGCUGUGUUAAGGAUCAAUGGGUUGUCACAUGUAUGUCUUUUUAAUAAAUGUCAGCUGAGAUGACA
Molecule: long non-coding RNA, 840 nt
Filed under: Cyanistes caeruleus (blue tit)
Lineage: Eukaryota; Metazoa; Chordata; Aves; Passeriformes; Paridae
Description: lncRNA (ENSCCEG00000017893.1)
Source: RNAcentral